RNAcentral lists this ribosomal RNA (461 nucleotides) under uncultured bacterium. Its description in RNAcentral is "SSU rRNA". It matches the Rfam family "Bacterial small subunit ribosomal RNA", at positions 26 to 518 of the family's 1533-position model. The record is from RNAcentral.
AGAAUCAACGCUGGCGGCGUGCCUAACACAUGCAAGUCGAACGAGAAAGUGGAGCAAUCCAUUAGUAAAGUGGCGCACGGGUGAGUAACACGUGACUAACCUACCCUUGAGUGGGGGAUAACCUAGGGAAACCUGGGCUAAUACCGCAUAAUACCUUCGGGUCAAAGGAGCAAUUCGCUUAAGGAGGGGGUCGCGGCCGAUUAGUUAGUUGGCGGGGUAAUGGCCCACCAAGACGAUGAUCGGUAUCCGGCCUGAGAGGGCGCACGGACACACUGGAACUGAAACACGGUCCAGACUCCUACGGGAGGCAGCAGUGGGGAAUUUUGCGCAAUGGGGGAAACCCUGACGCAGCAACGCCGCGUGGAGGAUGAAGCCCCUUGGGGCGUAAACUCCUUUCGAUCGGGACGAUUAUGACGGUACCGGAAGAAGAACGCCCCGGCUAACUUCGCGCCAGCAGCCGC